AGAAGAACUACAGUUGGCCAUGGCUAUGUCAUUAUCUCACCAGAUGAGUGAGGAGAAGGCAGCAGAUUAUUAUGAUACAGAUUAAAUGCGUUCCAGCAUCAUGGAGAUGAAUUGAAGCCCUAAACACACACAUACAAACACUAUGUGUGUGGAAACCUUACAUUGACGGUGUGAUUAUGAGGUAACUGUGAAAUGUGCACACCUACAUUUAUAUACCAAGUACAGCUUAUCAAUAGAGCAUGUAAAAUUUAUAUAUUUGUGGAAAAUUGCAAGAUAUGCAAUUUGCUAAGGGGUAACAUAUCUUUUUAAUGUUUAUUCUAGGAAAUCUAACUUCACUGUUGAACUUAAGGAACAUAAGAAUAGGUAGCCCCACUUUCAUUUAGCCUGUAUAAGAAUAUCGAGUAAAUUAUACAAAUAAGUAUUUAUCUAGCUACAUCUGAUAUCACACGGUGCACUCUCAUUGGCUAAACAUGGUGAUGUCACUAGCUCCGCCCCCUUUCUUGGCCCUAACAAUUUGAAUGAUAUUUUAUUAGUGUUUUUCAAUGUAUUUUCUUUGAAAAUGGUUCACUAAUGAAAAUGGUAUAUACAG
This is a non-coding RNA of Penaeus vannamei (Pacific white shrimp), 589 nucleotides long. The record is from RefSeq and is a predicted model, not a curated record. NCBI's taxonomy places the organism in Eukaryota, Metazoa, Arthropoda, Malacostraca, Decapoda, Penaeidae.